CUAUGGGGCGCUGCAGUGGGGAAUAUUGGACAAUGGGGGAAACCCUGAUCCAGCAAUGCCGCGUGUGUGAAGAAGGCCUGCGGGUUGUAAAGCACUUUCGGUUGGGAGGACUGCUUCUAGCACUAAUAUUGUUGGAAGUUGACGUUACCUUCAGAAGAAGCACCGGCUAACUCCGUGCCAGCAGCCGCGGUAAUGCGGAGGGUGCAAGCGUUAAUCGGAAUUACUGGGCGUGAAGCGCGCGUAGGCGGCUAGAUCAGUCGGGUGUGAAAGCCCCGGGCUUAACCUGGGAACUGCAUCCGAUACUGUCUAGCUUGAGUACAGGAGAGGAGAGUGGAAUUCCACAUGUAGCGGUGAAAUGCGUAGAUAUGUGGAGGAACACCAAUGGCGAAGGCAGCUCUCUGGCCUGAUACUGACGCUGAGGUGCGAAAGCGUGGGGAGCAAACAGGAUUAGAUACCCCUGUAGUC
RNAcentral lists this ribosomal RNA (465 nucleotides) under uncultured bacterium. RNAcentral's name for it is "partial 16S ribosomal RNA". It matches the Rfam family "Bacterial small subunit ribosomal RNA", at positions 339 to 795 of the family's 1533-position model. The record is from RNAcentral.